This 253-nucleotide ribosomal RNA is filed under the name uncultured bacterium. RNAcentral describes it as "partial 16S ribosomal RNA". It matches the Rfam family "Bacterial small subunit ribosomal RNA", at positions 524 to 776 of the family's 1533-position model. The record is from RNAcentral.
GACGUAGGGCGCGAGCGUUGUCCGGAUUUAUUGGGCGUAAAGGGCUCGUAGGCGGCCGACUAAGUCAGACGUGAAAUCCCCCGGCUUAACCGGGGAACUGCGUCUGAUACUGGACGGCUUGAAUUCGGGAGAGGGAUGCGGAAUUCCAGGUGUAGCGGUGAAAUGCGUAGAUAUCUGGAGGAACACCGGUGGCGAAGGCGGCGUCCUGGACCAACACUGACACUGAUGAGCGAAAGCCAGGGGAGCAAACGGG